GUCGAGAAUAUUCCACAAUGGGCGAAAGCCUGAUGGAGCGACGCCGCGUGCGGGAAGAAGUCCUUCGGGAUGUAAACCGCUUUUCUCCGGGACGAACAAAUGACGGUACCGGAGGAAUAAGAGGUUGCUAACUCUGUGCCAGCAGCAGCGGUAAUACAGAGACCUCAAGCGUUAUCCGGAUUUACUGGGCGUAAAGCGUCCGCAGGUGGUUUUAAAAGUUUUCGGUUAAAGGCCACGGCUCAACCGGGGAACGGCCGAAAAUACUUUAAAACUAGAGGCCGGGAGAGGCAAGCGGAACUGUCGGUGUAGCGGUAAAAUGUGUUAAUAUCGGCAGGAACACCAAAGGCGAAGGCAGCUUGCUGGAACGGUCCUGACACUCAUGGACGAAAGCGUGGGGAGCAAAAGGGAUUAGAAACCCGGGUAGUCC
This 427-nucleotide ribosomal RNA is filed under the name uncultured bacterium. RNAcentral's name for it is "bacterial SSU rRNA". It matches the Rfam family "Bacterial small subunit ribosomal RNA", at positions 354 to 796 of the family's 1533-position model. The record is from RNAcentral.